RNAcentral lists this unclassified non-coding RNA (253 nucleotides) under uncultured Gammaproteobacteria bacterium. Its description in RNAcentral is "contains 16S-23S intergenic spacer region". It matches the Rfam family "Bacterial small subunit ribosomal RNA", at positions 524 to 776 of the family's 1533-position model. Lineage: Bacteria; Pseudomonadati; Pseudomonadota; Gammaproteobacteria. The record is from RNAcentral.
UACAGAGGGCGCGAGCGUUAAUCGGAAUUACUGGGCGUAAAGGGCGCGUAGGCGGCGGGGCGAGUCGGUUGUGAAAUCCCAGGGCUUAACCUUGGAACUGCAACCGAUACUGCCUGGCUAGGGCCGAAGAGAGGGGUGCGGAAUUUCCGGUGUAGCGGUGAAAUGCGUAGAUAUCGGAAAGAACACCGGUGGCGAAGGCGGCACCCUGGCUUCAGGCCGACGCUGAGGCGCGAAAGCGUGGGUAGCGAACAGG